CCAGAGACCCCCAAGGACGAGAUAUACUUCAUUAUACACAUAUUUUCGAGCUCUUGGAGAGAGCUAGAGUUCCAGAGAGACGAUUGAAGCGAGAGGAUCAACCACAACUGGCGAAGGGCAAAUCAUCAAGUCGAAGAUUGGGAUUUCCACGAAGAACAUGUCGUCUUCUCCGGUUUUUCUUCUCUUCUCUUGUGAUUUAUUUUCCGGAACCAUGAGUAGCUAAACUUUCUGUGUUGUUCGGAUGAGAUGAAGCUUUAGCUAAGCUUU
This 267-nucleotide long non-coding RNA is filed under the name Linum usitatissimum (flax). RNAcentral's name for it is "long non-coding RNA (LUSI_LNC003858)". Lineage: Eukaryota; Viridiplantae; Streptophyta; Magnoliopsida; Malpighiales; Linaceae. The record is from RNAcentral.